Long non-coding RNA from Herpailurus yagouaroundi (jaguarundi), 871 nucleotides. RefSeq lists it as uncharacterized. The record is from RefSeq and is a predicted model, not a curated record. The transcript is spliced from 2 exons. Lineage: Eukaryota; Metazoa; Chordata; Mammalia; Carnivora; Felidae.
UCGACCCUCUCUUUCUCUAUGGGGCGUGUGCUGGAUCUGAGAGGUUGGAGCUCUGGAGCAAUACCCUUAUUCCGCUGUUGCCUUAGGUCUUUACACGGGGAACAGGGCGGACCUAGUUCGAAAAGUGCAUAAACCUCGGACGGUGGCGCAGACUUGAACUCAGCAACCGCUAGAGAAGGAAAGAUGCUGUGAUGAGAACCAGGCAAUGCCAGCCAAUUGGUCCGAUUUCACAGUCUGCGCACACCAGAAACUUGAUGUUGCCCACGUCCUUGGUGAAGCCCACGUUCUCAAAGAUGAACAUGUCAUCAACCAGCCAGUGCUCCUGGAGAAGCUCGCCGUCAGGAUUGCUGCCAUCAGCCAGAGCUGGUUUCUUUCUCAUGGAGGGAAGGAAAAGCUGCAGUGGAAAAGAACACAAAGAAUGCAAGAGCUGACUGGCCAGUCACGUCAUCACCCCCAUUCCACUCACACAUUACACUGCUCCCUAGCACUUUCUCGGAAUGAAAACAAAAUGAGGAGCCUGAUCAUUGAUGGAUGAGGAUGCUGGGCGGCUCCUCCGUUGCCUCUAGUCCGUGCCCUGAUUCUUACGAGACGUUAAAGAGGUAACAUGCUGUUUCCAACUGGCUUCACUGCUAUCUUUACCAUGGUCCAUAAGGCCCUGCCUGUUCCUAAUCUCCCUCCAGCCACACUGGCCUUGCCUUCUUCAAACAGGGUAAGUGUGCUCUGCCCUCAGAUCCUGGCAAGGCCGGUUCCUUCAUGAUAUUCAGCUCAAAUGUAACCUCUUCAGGAGGUCUUCUCUAACCAACCAAUCUGAAUUAGCUUCCCAUACUGCCCACUAUGUUUUAUUUUAUACUUUUUAAAGUUUACUCAACUA